Molecule: non-coding RNA, 23 nt
Filed under: Arabidopsis thaliana (thale cress)
Lineage: Eukaryota; Viridiplantae; Streptophyta; Magnoliopsida; Brassicales; Brassicaceae
Source: RNAcentral
UUCACGACAUUAACUUUUGUUCA